GGCUGUGCUCCACCCUGGCUCUCACCUGUUUCCAGGUAUCUGCCUAGCAGGAACUGACAUGCAGUGCUCCCUGCCCCGCGUCUCAGGCAGAAAAGGAGAUUGCACUUGUAUAGACUGGAAGUCUUUACCUUAGCCUCAUGCUAACAUAGAAACAAAAGACUUUCUGGAGAAAAAGUCUGACUAAAUAAAAGAGAAUGUAAGUAUGAACUUGAAUCUGUUUAUCCUAAGUGGUAUUUCAGUGGGUAAUUCAGAAUCCAAUCCUAUGUGUAAAUAUUUGAAGUAGCAUUUAAAUUGUGAAGAGCUUUUCUGACAUGGGAGAGUUUCCUGCUUCUUGUUUUGAAAUCCUAACUGAGAUGUGCACAGGUGACUUUAGCUUUCUGCUGUGCAUGUCUGAGCUGCAGACCGGGAAGUAGCGGGGCAAGCAGCAGAUUGGCUCUCAGCCUUUUCUCAAGAUGCCAGCAGUUAUCAAAGCAGACCCUCUGAGUUUGCUCACAGGAACAAGCUGGGGUAAAUGUUUAACUUGAGUCUUUGGAGUCUAUGGCUUGUACCUUUCUUUAUUAUUAACCCAAGCCCUGUUUUUCUUUACAGUCGCACGGCUGCUGGCACACAAGAAACAAAGGACCCUUGACAUAACUUCCUCACGGAGGCACGAGCAAAGCCCUGCCAACCUGUCAGUCCAGCCAUGCAAGAGAGGGAGAGAGAGAAAAAGAAAGGAGGGAGUGAAGCAGAGAUUCAGAUCUCAGCAGAUAUUAAGAUUCCCAAUGAACAAAGAAAACAAAUAGCCCCUGGGACCACAAGUGUGUUCUGUAA
This 810-nucleotide long non-coding RNA is filed under the name Anas platyrhynchos platyrhynchos (common mallard). RNAcentral describes it as "lncRNA (ENSAPLG00000016575.1)". Lineage: Eukaryota; Metazoa; Chordata; Aves; Anseriformes; Anatidae. The record is from RNAcentral.